Molecule: non-coding RNA, 8249 nt
Organism: Monodelphis domestica (gray short-tailed opossum)
Lineage: Eukaryota; Metazoa; Chordata; Mammalia; Didelphimorphia; Didelphidae
Source: RefSeq, a predicted model, not a curated record
UUUCCUCAUCUAUAAAAAUGUGUUAUAAAUAGCACUUAUAACAGGAUUGCUCUGAGAACCAACCUGUUCAACCUUAGGUUUCUUUUGGGAUCCUGUGUAUUUUAUUGUAUGCUUUAAAAAAUAUCCAGAGAAAGGAUUCACAGGCUACAUCAGACUGCCAAGGUGUCAAGAGCUAAAAAAUUGAGAACCCUUGCCUUAGCUUUAAGCACUAUAUUUAUUCUCCCAACUUUAAAACUUCCAAAGAAAAGUAGCUCUAUACUUGGUGAAAGUGGAGGUAUGGUGGGGGCAGAACAAAUAAUCCUACAAAUCAGAUCAUCAUGAAAUUGAGGCCUAGGAAGGUGGAGUGUCCUUCCUGGUCACUCAGGUAAAGGUAAAGUUUGGACUCCAGUGUUCUGACUCCAGAGGCAGUUCUCUUUCUACUUUACCAUACUGACCUUGAAAAGCAAGGUAAUGGUUCUACCUCUUGCUAAUUUUCUCAGUGAUGCCAUGUAAGCUCCUCUGUGUCAUUUUCCUCUUCUGUAAAAGAAGGUUAUAAAAAAUCAAGGGUUUGUGACCAGAGAUCCAUGCCAUGAAGUUUUUAUUUUUUCAAAAUGUUUUCUUAACUUGAAAUAUGAUUGCUUUCCUUUGUAAUCCCAUAUUUUAUUUUAUGCGUUUAAAAGCAUUCUUCUGAGAAGGGAGUCUAUAGGCUUCACCAGACUGCAAAAGAGUCCAUACCCCAAAAAAGGUUAAGAACUGCUGGACUAGAUGUCUUUAAAGUUCCUUCCAGUUCAAACAUUAUUUCACUGAAUUUUUAAAGUAUGGUAUCUUUAAGGAAUGAGUGGAGUAUUCCACAGUGAGAAGAACUGAGAUCCCAAGGCCUUUCAGAAAUUAAUAUGGUCUUGUGAGAAAAGCUCUCUGAAUGCACAGCUAGGUGCUUCAGUGGAUAAAGAACCAGGUCUGGAAAUGGGAGUUCUUGGGUUUGAAUAUGGCCUAGCUAUGUGACCUUGGGUAAAUCACUUAACCCCAAUUGCAUAGCCCUUAAUGCACCAAAAGAACACUCUGUUCUUUAUGCAUAAAUGGAAAUUACUGCUAUCUAAAAAUCGGAGUUUUUUAUGUAUGACUGGCUCAGUUUAGGUCAGUAGUAUAGUUUAUUUGGACAAUGGCACACUACUGUCUUAUUAUAGUGUUUAUUAUACACUUGUGUAUACAUAGCAAUUGAAAAAGAAAUAGUCCUUAAUGAGAGAAUAUUUGUAAAGUGCUUGCUUGGUAUGUGGUAGACACUUAAUAAGUGCUUGUUUCCUUCCUUACUUUUAGAAGUUUAUAACCAGUUUCCCACUCCUUCCAUCCUUCUAGGGUGUCAAGGGCAGAAUUCUAUCUCUUUUCACUGUGUGCAAAGGAUUGCAAAAAGAGAGUAUAUUCCCUAUCUGCAGGCUUUACCUAAAUCCUGCCUGUUGACAUUGAAGUGACACAAUACAUUAGGAAGAUAAUUUCAAUUUAAUUUUCAGGAUCUUUCUUCCCUGAUCAAGAUGCUGGCUGUUUCCUAAGAAAUCAUUCAUUUCUAUGAAAAAAUGUCAGAUUUUCAUCUUCCCCCUGUAGCUUGGCUUUCAAACUUUCAUCCCUGUGAGAUUCUGAGGGGUCACCUGGGCUGCCAUAGUCCUUACAAUAUCAAAAGCAGCAUUUCCUUCCAAUAAGUUUGUCACAAGGCUGACAGCACAGCUUGAGAAAUGGGACAAGAUGUUGUAGGUGGACAUAACAUUAGAUCCCACCCGUGGCUUGAUUUUAGAUUUAACAUGGAAAGAGAUUUUUAGUCUACUAUUUGAUGCCUUUCUUUCCAUAUGGUCAAGAACUUACCAAGGCUUAUGAAAUUAGGAGUUCUUGGUAAGGUCACCAACCUAAAGCUGAUUGGCGUUAUUGCAACCUUUGCUGCUAUAACUUAAAUUGGUGAAAGAAAGACUGAGAGAUUUUGAAGACUUGUAGUAGUAAAGAUGGGCAGCGAGUUGGCACAAGGCCGAGCUUGGAGUCAGGAAGACUCAUCUUCUUGAGUUCAAAUAACUAGCUGUGUGACCAAGGCUAAAUCACUUCACCCUAUUUGCCUUAGUUUCCUUAUAUGUAAAAUGAGCCAGAGAAGGAAAUGUCAAACUGCUCCUGCACCUCUGCCAAGAAAACGAAAACCACUCGACAACCACCACAACAAAAUUGGGGAGAUAGAAAAAUGGAACAGAGAACAAGAACUGCUGUGGCCAGAGAUGAGACGUGUUGGUGAGAGACUAGCCUUGCUGUGGGAAACCAGCAUCCUGAAAUCAGACUGAUAGCUGCCAUGCAUCCUCAGGCAUUGCUGAGAACAUGCUGAGACAUCUAUCCCAACCCCAGUAUAGAAUAGUAUUUUCUUCAUUUGUUUGCAGAGGUGAUCUUCUUGAUAUUGUUCAGUUGUUUUCAGGCCUGUCUGACUCUUCCUGAUGCCUUUUAGGAAGUUUCUUGGCAAAGACUCUGGAGCGGUUCACCAUUUCCUUUCCCAGCUCAUUUUACAGAUGAGGAAACUGAAGCAAACAGAGUAAAGUGACUUGUCCAGGUCACAUAGCUAAUAGGUUUACAAGGCCAGAUUUGAACUCAGAAAGAUGAGUUUCCUGACUCCAAGGCCAGUGCUUUAUCUACCUAACUGUCCCAGAGCUGAUCUUAGUAAAUUCCAAACAAAAUCUCUUCAUUUAUGAUCCUUCAACCAUCUUGAAAGAAGGCUGUGGUAGGUUAGGUAGGUGAUUGAAUGGAACAGCUUCCUUAGAUUUUUGCUCUGCAACAGUAUUUUUAUUGUUUAAACUUUACCGCAUUUCAAAAAUCAUAUGGUCACUAAAAGUCAGAAUAGUUGAUAAAGAGUUAGAGGUUUCUCAAAUGGAGGGUAGAGAGAGCCAUAUUGAAAAUUUCAUAAUUCUCAUCUUUCAGACUAAUAUUCCAUUUCUCUUCUCUUAAACUAAAACUUUAAUUGGAUGUUAUUAAAUCUGAUGCAUAUUAAAAAUUUCCUUUUUAGUUUCUCUAGAAAUAUUAAGAAGUGAUAUUUCUCUCUGAAGCCCUUUCCACAUUCUUGGAGAAAGCCAGUAAGAAAGGGGAAAAGAGGAAAGGAAGAAAUUUUGUUCUUGAUCCCGUUCUCUUGCUGCAUUCUGGUCUGGAAGCCAAGGAAAAGAAAACUGAGGAGAAGAAAAAGGGCAAACUGUUUCAUAGCUUAAUUUCAUGGUUCUCAGGAAAAGAACAGUCACUAGAAAAAAGUCAGCAAGUAAGUAGAAAUGCUCAUUCCAUGGGUACUGCUCUCCAGAUGACUCUAGGCUACUUUUUUUUUUUUUAACCAACUGUAGGUGACCCAGAGAUAUCUCAAACUCAACAUGUCCAAAAUAGAACUCAGAAUCUAUCAACUUCCUUCCUUUCCAUCUUUCUCUUCUUCUCGUCCAUCCUUCUUUCCUCCUCUUUUUCUUCCUUCUUUUCUCUCUGCCCUUUCUUCCUUCUUUUCCUCCCUUCUUUCUCUUUCUCUAGAACCCUUACCUUCUGUGGAAGUGCCUGUGGUCAAUUUUGAACCCAGGACCUCCCAUCUCUAGCUCUGGCUCUCUAUUUACUAAGCCACCUCACUUUUCCUCCCCAUAUCUUUCAUCUGUCUCCCAGGUUCAAAAUCUCAAUGUAUUCCUCAAUUCUUCAAUCUCUCUCAUCUAACAUUAGUUGAGUGAUUUCUACCUCUGCAACAUGUCAUACAUCCAGCCCUUUCCCUUUACUCACAAAGCUAUCAUUUUAAUUUUAGUUCAAGCCCUCCUACAGGCUCUCCAAGACUACUUCAAAGACCACCAUAUUGGCUGCUCUCACUCAUCUCUUUCCACUACAGUCCAACCUCCAUAACAGUCACCAAGGUUAUUUUCCUUACUCGUGGAUAGGAGUUUAUCACAUACACUCCUAUUCAGUAAAUCGGCGUGUAUGGGGUGUUUAGCCAGGGUGAGCAUCUCUGGUGUGAAGACUGCUGACCUCAUUUCUCUUGAUGUCCACCUUUCACUCAAUUCUCCCCCGUGGCUUCUAGCUGUAGGCUGUGCAGUGGUCACACCCCAGUAAAAUCAUCAUGGCAGAUAGGCUAAACAAGGUGAAGGGUGACCAACAAGCCUCAAACCUAUGGGCAAGUUAGAGGAAUGUCUAUACCAAGCACGUGAAGACUUCCUUUGGCAAAAUGGGCUGAUGAGAACAAUCUAUUCCAAUAGCCAGGAAGGCCACUGAAGCAAAUGCUGUGGAGUGCUUAGAGCUUGGUCAGACAUUGAAGAUGCCAAGGUUAUUCAUAGCACCCCAGUUCACUGCCAGUUACACCAACUUUUGUCUUGCUAUUGGACUUUGAUGAUCAUGGAAGACAGAAGACUUUGUGUAACUUUGCCUCCCUUAAAUCCAAUUGACAUAUAAGUUAAGAUACCUUACUUAUGAUAUCAUUGCUCCUCUUCAAAAAAAGGAUGAACUCAGUCAAUUCUAGUGUCUCUCUUUCCUCUAGAAUAAAACAUAAACUCAUUUCUUUGACUUUAGAAGCCCUUUGAACCGGACUCUUAAACUAUUUUUCCAGUUUCAUUAUAUAUUAUCCCCCUUCCUCCAUUAUACCAGGAUUCUCUUUAUUCUACACAGGGCAUUCCACCUCCCAUUUCUGUGGCCAUCCCCAAUUCUCCAAUCCCUUCUUACUCAUUCCUCAUGGGAUCCUUUUUAUCCUUCAAGACUAAGCUCAAGUACUACAUUUUAAACAAAGCCUUUGCUGAUCUCUACAAAUGGUGAUGGUUUUGCUUUAUUUUGCUCUACAUCCGUUCAAUAAAAUUUCCCAUCUUUCAAAUUCUUUAGGAACUUUUUCUAUUGACUUUGAAUUUAUUACCUUGUAAUAACUUUCUAUAUUCUUACAUUUGUACAUGUUUCCUUCCCUCUUCACACCCUUUCCCCCUAACCCUGGCACUCUAUAGAAAGGAUAGAAUGUAUGCUCCUUCAGUGUAGGUGUUGUUCCUUUUUUAAAAUCUGUAUCUCCAGUGCCAAGCAUAAUAUAUAAUGCAUACUGGGUACUUAACAAACCUCAUCAGAUUGAUUAUGGAAGUCACCUAACACAAGUCUUCUUAUACUAAGAAAAUAACUCAGGUUUCAGGUUGGGAACAGUCAGUGUUAGAGGUACAGCAGGGGGAUGAGUGUACUCAUGAACAAUUUGGUGGAGCUGUCAAGAAAGGCCCAACCAUUCUAGAUUUCAAUUUGACAUUUUGCAAGAAAAGUGACUAAAUUGUUCACAGUCUUUAGCCCAGUGAUCCUAAUACUGAGCAGAUAGCCAAAGUGAGUCAAGGACAGGAAAAAAAAAGUCUUACACUGAAAUAUUCACAGUAGCAGUUUUUAUGAUAGCAAAGAACUAGAAACAAAAUGAAGGCCCAUUCAUUGGGGGAUGACUCUAUAAUGUCUGGAAGUUAAAAAAUAAUCAAAAUGGAGAAUUUGGAGAAACAUAGGAGACUUGUAUGAAAUAAUGCAGAAUAAAAUAAAUAGAACCAAGAGACUAUAACAAUGCAAAUGCAAAUGCCACUAAAAGGAAGUUCAACUGUGUGUGAUAGAAAAAACCAUUGAAGAUCCCAGAAAAGAGAUAUUAAACAUAUUUCUUCUCUCACAGCUGAGGGAUGAGUGAUAACGAGGAUAAAAUAUUGGAUACAGUGUCAGACUUUGUCUCUGUGGUAGAUUUUUUUGUUUCAAUAUUUUUAUUUGUUACAGAGGAAGAGUUCAAUCUGGAGACUGGGAAGGGAAAUUACUGUGAUGUAAAGACAAAAGGUAUCAAUAAUACAUUUAGUUUUCUUUCCUGGUCAUCAAAAUAUGAACACUCAAAUGGCAUUGACACUCAGGCUGGCAAAUCUUUAUUUUUUGUUUAAGAUGAAAAAAAGUCUUAAUUAAAAAAGAAAAAAAAUUCAUUUCAAAAAGAUGAAUGGGAUAGGGGUAGGGGACAACCACAAGGGGCCAAAGGGAACUUUUAGGCAUCUAAGGGCUUAAAUGAAAUAUUCCUAGUCCACCUCUCCUUAUCCUCUUAUCCUCUUCUCAGUUUUACAAACAUUUCUGUGAUCAAAUUUAUCCAUCAUUUUCUCCAUGUGUAAGUGAAGACCAUCUUUGAGGCUUAAACCAGCACCUUUUUCACAGUGUUAAGAGAGUAUCACUAUAUCUGCUUAGGUACAUUGCAGAACUACUUAGGUCAUUGCUGCUAGAAGGGAGGAAUACUGGGAGAAAUUGAAGUGGCCUGGAAGGUUUGAUAACUUCAAGAGGCCUUAGCUUCUCUUCCUAUCUGGAGAAUAGGAGAAUUCCUAUUCUCCUCCCAAUCUGCUCAAUUCUUUGAUUUUCCUGUUUCAAGCAAGAAGCAUGCCCUUCAUUCUUCUGAAGUGUUAAAAGUAAGUUAUUUUCCCUCCCCACCUAUGGGACUUCCUUGGCUACCAUAACAGGAAGUGCUAUUGACCCAUUCCUUAAGAGGGAGCAGGGGAGAGAAGGUGGUGAGAAGAGAGAAAAAGAGAGGGAGAAGGAACGAACAACAUUUAGGGCUUCUUCUUAUAUUGGCUGAGAGCCACAUUAUACCAAUCAGUUAGAAAAGGGAGGGGAGCUCCACCUCUCUUGCUGCUGAUCUAUCUCUGGACUAGUAGCUCUGGGUCAUUUAGAAUUUAGAAUACAUUUCUGGACAUUUGGUGAUUCCAGCCAGUGUACAACUGAGUGGGAUCUUCUACACUUAUUCUCUCAGUAGCUUUAAGCCAAGAGCUCAUCGUUUGUUAAUCAGCUCAUAGAAAGGUGGGGAUCAGAAGGGUUUGGUAGAAGUCAAGAUCACAGAACUGGAAGAAAUGUUGAUUUCGGUGGGGUGAACUGACCCAUGCUAUCUUAGGAUCUAGUUCAAAGGCAUUGUGGUGGGGUGGAAAGAGCACCAGUGAGAAGACCUGGGUUCAUGUCUUUGUUCCACCAUGAAAUAGCUGUGUGAGAGCAAAUCCUUUAGUCCGAGUCUCACUUUCCCCAUUUUCCAAAUGGAGAUAACUAAAAAGUUAAGGAAAUUGCUUUCGAAACCAUAUGGCAUUAUAUGAAUGCAUUAUCAUCCCACUAGACAUUUACCCACAUACUCCAGGUCAAUGCACAGCUCCUGUCAGGAUUCUGGAAAGAGGACUAGACUUGGCAACCUCUAAAGUCUCUUCCAACUUUAAGCCUCCCCAUAUGCACCAAAACAUUUAUAGCAGCUCUUUUUGUAGUAGCAAAAAAAAAAAUAAUAGCUAGCAUUUACAUAGUGCUUUAAGGUUUACAAAGUGCUUUAUACAUAUUAUCUCAUUUUAUCCUCAUAACAACCCUGGGAGAUAGAUGUUAUUCCUAUUUUAUAGAUGAGGUUACCCUGGCAGACAGAGGUGAAGUGACUUGCCCAGAGUCACAGGUUUGAACUUAAGUCUUCCUCAUUCUGGCUCUAGCACUCUAUCUAUUAUUCCACCUAAUUGUCUUAAAACUGGAAACAAAAUAAAUGUCCAUUGAUUGGGGAAUGGCUAAACAAGCUAUGGCACAUGAUAUAAUAGACUAUUACUAGGCUGAGAAUAGAAGCAUAGGGGAAGAUUUACAUGAACUGAUGCAAAGUGAAGUUAGUAGAACCAGAAAGACAAUAUAUAGUCACCACAACAUAAAUGGAAACAAUGGCAAUAAAACAACCCAAACUGAAUGCUGGGAAAUGAUCACGAUCACAUUUGUUCCCGGAGAAGAGAUAUCAGAACAUGCCUUUCCCACAUCUUUGCGGGGGCUUGGAGUGGGCAACACUGCCUAGUGUGAUGUAUUGGGUGAGUUUUGCUACACUUUUUCUUUCUAUUGGAAAUACUGGGAUAUGUAGGUGAUAUAAAAAUUAGAUGUCAACAAUUUUUUUAAACGAAUCAUUGAUUGUAGAAUUCUUUUUAUCCCAAGACCUUGCACAGUAUUGGGGAGCUUUUGAUUUUUCUGACAGUUAUCUGAUCAUGGAGUGGUAGUUUUUUGGAAAGUGGGAGGAAAGGAAUGGAGAAGCUCACUUCAUAUCAGUGAAGAUUAAAUAGAUGUUACCAGAAAAGCAACAUCAACUAGAAGGAACAUUAUGACUCUAAAUUUCUAAGAGAUACAUAAGCAAGGAAUGAUGUUCUAUUUAUCCAUUUCUCUCAGCUCUCCAUUUAGUCUACUAAGGAAAAUCCCAGAGCUAAGUGAAGCUUUAUAUAUACUCUUCUGGAGAAGCUUGAACUCAGAUACUGAUUCCCAUAGACUUUUUUUUUUAACACUUAUAUUCUGUCUUAGAA